GACGAACGCUGGCGGCGUGCUUAACACAUGCAAGUCGAACGGAAAGGCCCUGCUUUUGUGGGGUGCUCGAGUGGCGAACGGGUGAGUAACACGUGAGUAACCUGCCCUUGACUUUGGGAUAACUUCAGGAAACUGGGGCUAAUACCGGAUAGGAGCUCCUGCUGCAUGGUGGGGGUUGGAAAGUUUCGGCGGUUGGGGAUGGACUCGCGGCUUAUCAGCUUGUUGGUGGGGUAGUGGCUUACCAAGGCUUUGACGGGUAGCCGGCCUGAGAGGGUGACCGGCCACAUUGGGACUGAGAUACGGCCCAGACUCCUACGGGAGGCAGCAGUGGGGAAUAUUGCACAAUGGGCGGAAGCCUGAUGCAGCAACGCCGCGUGCGGGAUGACGGCCCUCGGGUUGUAAACCGCUUUCGCCUGUGACGAAGCGUGAGUGACGGUAAUGGGUAAAGAAGCACCAGCUAACUACGUG
This 468-nucleotide ribosomal RNA is filed under the name uncultured bacterium. RNAcentral describes it as "partial 16S ribosomal RNA". It matches the Rfam family "Bacterial small subunit ribosomal RNA", at positions 28 to 507 of the family's 1533-position model. The record is from RNAcentral.